ACCGGGGAAGAAACGCUGCAAGUUAACAGCUUGCAGCCUGACUUAACCCGGAGAGGAAGCAGUGGCUAACUCUGUGCCAGCAGCCGCGGUAAUACAGAGACUGCAAGCGUUAUUCGGAUUCACUGGGCGUAAAGGGUGCGCAGGCGGCCAAGUGUGUGAGGCGUGAAAGCCCGAUGCUCAACAUCGGAAUUGUACCUCAAACUACAUGGCUAGAGCAUUGGAGAGGGUAGCGGAAUUCACGGUGUAGCAGUGAAAUGCGUAGAUAUCGUGAGGAACACCAGAGGCGAAGGCGGCUACCUGGACAAUUGCUGACGCUCAGGCACGAAAGCGUGGGGAGCAAAAGGGAUUAGAUACCCCUGUAGUCCACGCCCUAAACGGUGCACACUAGGUCUUGGCGGAUUCCGACCCCACCAGGGCCCAAGCUAACGCGUUAAGUGUGCCGCCUGAGGACUACGGCCGCAAGGACUA
RNAcentral lists this ribosomal RNA (468 nucleotides) under uncultured Verrucomicrobiota bacterium. Its description in RNAcentral is "bacterial SSU rRNA". It matches the Rfam family "Bacterial small subunit ribosomal RNA", at positions 438 to 897 of the family's 1533-position model. The record is from RNAcentral. Lineage: Bacteria; Pseudomonadati; Verrucomicrobiota.